Molecule: ribosomal RNA, 504 nt
Filed under: uncultured Glomus
Lineage: Eukaryota; Fungi; Glomeromycota; Glomeromycetes; Glomerales; Glomeraceae
Description: SSU rRNA
Rfam family: Eukaryotic small subunit ribosomal RNA
Source: RNAcentral
AGCAGCCGCGGUAAUUCCAGCUCCAAUAGCGUAUAUUAAAGUUGUUGCAGUUAAAAAGCUCGUAGUUGAAUUUCGGGACCAUCAUGUUGGUCGUGCCUCGGUACGUACUGGCAUUGUUGGUUUCUCCCUUCUGACGAACCAUGAUGUCAUUUAUUUGGUGUUGUGGGAAAUCAGGACUGUUACUUUGAAAAAAUUAGAGUGUUUAAAGCAGGCUCACGCUUGAAUACAUUAGCAUGGAAUAAUGAAAUAGGACGUUUGAUUCUAUUUUGUUGGUUUCUAGGAUCGACGUAAUGAUUAAUAGGGAUAGUUGGGGGCAUUAGUAUUCAAUUGUCAGAGGUGAAAUUCUUGGAUUUAUUGAAGACUAACUACUGCGAAAGCAUUUGCCAAGGAUGUUUUCAUUAAUCAAGAACGAAAGUUAGGGGAUCGAAGACGAUCAGAUACCGUCGUAGUCUUAACCAUAAACUAUGCCGACUAGGGAUCGGAUGAUGUUAAUUUAAUGACUCA